UGGAAAAUGGUUUCUCUCCUUCGAAUAAUGGUACGGAAUUUAGAGCUUUAUUCUCUUGUGUAUGAUAAGCAUGGCUUGGAAAUGGUUUCUUUCCUCUAUUUGGGUUAGGUUUCAAAGCUUCAUUCACUCUUGUAUAAUGAUCAUGUAGGGAUUUUAAGAGGGAUUUUUCAAAAUUUUAAUCCUCUUUGCGGAAGAAAUCCCAAUGAAACGGAUCUUGAUUAAAUCAUUAAUCACAAAUCAAACAGAAACUUAAACACUUUAAGAUUCAUGUGUUUACCUCUUGAAGAGUAGAACCUUUGUAGAAGAAAUAUUUCUGAUCACGAGCAAAGCAAAGCAGCGAUGCCUCUACUUAGUCCACACGAACAGAACUUCUCCGAUGACCGGUGCUAGCCAAUUCCAACGGAGAUUCAGAGAGAAGAAGGUUUAGAGAGCGGCGGCUAGGGUUUCACAACUUUUGUGAAUUAGGUUAAGCACUCACAAAAAGGUUCGUAAUGCUUCAACACAAGGGUUCUAUUUAUAGAAUCACUUGUGUGGUCAGCAAGACAACACUUAAAUACACUGUACCUUACGGUGGACCGCGUUUCUCUAUUUUUCGUAAAUUAAAUAAUAAAGUCAUAUUUAAUUAUUUAAUUAAUAAUAAGUCUCACUUAUUAUUUUAUAAAUAAGUCUUACUUAUUUAUUUCUCUCAUCUAUCUGUCCUUUGUGUGUGACCCUAUAGGUUCCCGUAACGUUGGCAAUAAUAUUAAAUCACAUAUUUAAUAUUAUAAACAGUGAGCGGUAUCUAGCAACACAUCACUGCUACCUAAGUGACGAGAAUGUCAUGUGAUCUGACGAAACCUUUCUGUGAUAAUGAUCAUGUGUAUAAUUACCCUUUUGCCCUCAUGUCUAUAUUAAACACAAGGCAUAGACCGUGUCAUCCUUGUCUAGUUCAAUAUUGGGCCCGUAGACAUUUCUCCUGUUAUGUAGGAGGGGCAAAUUCCAUCUAGGUCACUCAUGUCCCUCAGCAUGAUUCAUGGAGUACCCAUCAACCAACUUUAUAGUCAUCCUGUUACGGACAACGUUUGAAUGGUGACAAAGCACUCGACUCCAACAUCUAGGGUACAUAGUGGUUUCAGGUCGAAGGGUGGAAUACACCACUAUCACUAUGAGAAUAUCUUAUGACACUUUUCAUAACUUUUACUAUGUAGUAUUCUCAUGGCGGAUCAAUCCAAUAUAAAUAUUACUCCUAAUAUUUAUAUCUAUGUGAAGACUUGAUAACUCUUUAUCCAUGAUCUGUGAGAUGUGAUCAUCAGUCUAUCUACAUAAUAGUCUCUAUGCUUUAAUGAUAUCCCACUUCUCAACAAAGCUUGACUACGGAUACUUUGAGAAUAGUUUCCUUAUGUUUAAUGGGGUCUCACAAUUAAGUUAUACUUAAUGUUCCAUUAAACGAACUAACUAUUCUAGGGACUUUAUUAUUUUGAAACAAAACAAAAUCAAUAAAGAAAUGCCUUGUUAUUAUAUAUUCACAAUAUAUAUUUAUAUCAAUAUCAUGAUACAAAGCCAAACCCAAUCAAUAUAGAUUGGCUAUUAGGGCUUAUUCCAACAUAUCAUGGAUUGAAAAUCCGUAAACACUUUUGACCGGUUGACUAGACUCCAAAGCUUCAUUCACAAUUGUAUGAUAACCUAUGCUGGAAAAUGGUUUCUCUCCUUCGAAUAAUGGUACGGAAUUUAGAGCUUUAUUCUCUUGUGUAUGAUAAGCAUGGCUUGGAAAUGGUUUCUUUCCUCUAUUUGGGUUAGGUUUCAAAGCUUCAUUCACUCUUGUAUAAUGAUCAUCGAUUGAAAAUCCGUAAACACUUUUGACCGAUUGACUAGACUCCAAAGCUUCAUUCACAGUUGUAUGAUAACCUAUUCUGGAAAAUGGUUUCUCUCCUUCGAAUAAUGGUACAGAAUUUAGAGCAUCAUUCACUUGUGUAGGAUAAACAUUGCUUGGAAAUGGUUCCCUUACUCUAUUUGGGUGAGGUUUUAAAGUUUCAUCCACUCUUGUAUAAUGUGCUUCGCUAGAAAUUGGGUUCCCUCUUCCGAAUAGUUGAUCAGAUUUCGAAGCUUCAUUCACUCUUAUAUAAUGAUCUUCGCUUGAAUAUGGGUUUCCUCUUUUGACCGAUCGACCAGAUUUCAAAGCAUCAUUCACAGUGCUGGAAAAUGGUUUCCCUCCUCGGAAUGGUACAGAAUUUAGAGCUUCAUUCACUUGUGUAUGAUAAACAUAACCUUUUCUGGGAAAUGGUCUCCAUGCGUAUCUGUUUGAGUCCAUGAGUAGUAUGUCUUUGUAGUUUUUCUGCCACAAGACGAGAGAUAUGUGCCAAGCUAAGCUAAUAAUACA
This 2356-nucleotide long non-coding RNA is filed under the name Medicago truncatula (barrel medic). Its description in RNAcentral is "long non-coding RNA (MTRU_LNC002066)". Lineage: Eukaryota; Viridiplantae; Streptophyta; Magnoliopsida; Fabales; Fabaceae. The record is from RNAcentral.